GAUGCAUAGCCGGCCUGAGAGGGCGGACGGCCACAUUGGGACUGAGACACGGCCCAAACUCCUACGGGAGGCAGCAUAGGGAAUUUUCGUCAAUGGGGGGAACCCUGAACGAGCAAUGCCGCGUGAGUGAGGAAGGUCUUCGGAUCGUAAAGCUCUGUUGUAAGAGAAAAACGGCACUCAUAGGGAAUGAUGAGUGAGUGAUGGUAUCUUACCAGAAAGUCACGGCUAACUACGUGCCAGCAGCCGCGGUAAUACGUAGGUGGCGAGCGUUAUCCGGAAUGAUUGGGCGUAAAGGGUGCGUAGGUGGCAGAUCAAGUCUGGAGUAAAAGGUAUGGGCUCAACCCGUACUGGCUCUGGAAACUGAUCAGCUAGAGAACAGAAGAGGACGGCGGAACUCCAUGUGUAGCGGUAAAAUGCGUAGAUAUAUGGAAGAACACCGGUGGCGAAGGCGGCCGUCUGGUCUGGAUUCUGACACUGAAGCACGAAAGCGUGGGGAGCAAAUAGGAUUAGAUACCCUAGUAGUCCACGCCGUAAACGAUGAGAACUAGGUGUUGGGGGAAUAACUCAGUGCCGCAGUUAACGCAGUAAGUUCUCCGCCUGGGGAGUAUGCACGCAAGUGUGAAACUCAAAGGAAUUGACGGGGGCCCGCACAAGCGGUGGAGUAUGUGGUUUAAUUCGAAGCAACGCGAAGAACCUUACCAGGCCUUGACAUCCCUUGCAGAGGUAUAGAGAUAUAUCUAGGUUAUCAAGGAGACAGGUGGUGCAUGGUUGUCGUCAGCUCGUGUCGUGAGAUGUUGGGUUAAGUCCCGCAACGAGCGCAACCCUUGUGAUAUGUUACUAACAUUGAGUUGAGGACUCAUAUCAGACUGCCGGUGAUAAACCGGAGGAAGGUGGGGAUGACGUCAAAUCAUCAUGCCCCUUAUGGCCUGGGCUACACACGUACUACAAUGGCGUCUACAAAGAGCGGCAAGCCUGUGAAGGCAAGCGAAUCUCAUAAAGGACGUCUCAGUUCGGAUUGAAGUCUGCAACCCGACUUCAUGAAGCUGGAAUCGCUAGUAAUCGCGAAUCAGCAUGUCGCGGUGAAUACGUUCUCGGGCCUUGUACACACCGCCCGUCAAACCAUGGGAGUUGGUAAUGCCCGAAGCCGGUGGCAUAACCCUUCGGGGAGUGAGCCGUCGAAGGCAGGACCGAUGACUGGGGUUAAGUCGAAACAAGGUA
RNAcentral lists this ribosomal RNA (1218 nucleotides) under metagenome. RNAcentral describes it as "bacterial SSU rRNA". It matches the Rfam family "Bacterial small subunit ribosomal RNA", at positions 278 to 1498 of the family's 1533-position model. The record is from RNAcentral.